Molecule: ribosomal RNA, 397 nt
Filed under: Wolbachia endosymbiont of Cosmopterix zieglerella
Lineage: Bacteria; Pseudomonadati; Pseudomonadota; Alphaproteobacteria; Rickettsiales; Anaplasmataceae
Description: bacterial SSU rRNA
Rfam family: Bacterial small subunit ribosomal RNA
Source: RNAcentral
GGGUCGGUUCGGCCGGGUUUCACACAGGUGUUGCAUGGCUGUCGUCAGCUCGUGUCGUGAGAUGUUGGGUUAAGUCCCGCAACGAGCGCAACCCUCAUCCUUAGUUACCAUCAGGUAAUGCUGGGGACUUUAAGGAAACUGCCAGUGAUAAACUGGGGGAAGGUGGGGAUGAUGUCAAGUCAUCAUGGCCCUUAUGGAGUGGGCUACACACGUGCUACAAUGGUGGCUACAAUGGGCUGCAAAGUCGCGAGGCUAAGCCAAUCCCUUAAAAGCCAUCUCAGUUCGGAUUGUACUCUGCAACUCGAGUGCAUGAAGUUGGAAUCGCUAGUAAUCGUGGAUCAGCACGCCACGGUGAAUACGUUCUCGGGUCUUGUACACACUGCCCGUCACGCCAUGG